RNAcentral lists this ribosomal RNA (383 nucleotides) under uncultured bacterium. Its description in RNAcentral is "bacterial SSU rRNA". It matches the Rfam family "Bacterial small subunit ribosomal RNA", at positions 376 to 774 of the family's 1533-position model. The record is from RNAcentral.
CGCAAGCCUGACGGAGCAACGCCGCGUGAGGGAUGAAGGCCUCUGGGCUGUAAACCUCUUUUAUCAAGGAAGAAGAUCUGACGGUACUUGAUGAAUAAGCCACGGCUAAUUCCGUGCCAGCAGCCGCGGUAAUACGGGAGUGGCAAGCGUUAUCCGGAAUUAUUGGGCGUAAAGCGUCCGCAGGCGGUCUUGUAAGUCUGUCGUUAAAACGUGGAGCUUAACUCCAUUUCGGCGGUGGAAACUACAAGACUAGAGUGUGGUAGGGGCAGAGGGAAUUCCCGGUGUAGCGGUGAAAUGCGUAGAUAUCGGGAAGAACACCAGUGGCGAAGGCGCUCUGCUGGGCCAUAACUGACGCUCAUGGACGAAAGCCAGGGGAGCGAAAG